GUGAAUCAUCGAAUCUUUGAACGCAUAUUGCGCUCUUUGGUAUUCCGAAGAGCAUGCUUGUUUGAGUAUCAGUAAACACCUCAAAGCUUUUGGAUUUUUUUUGAAAGCUUUGGACUUGAGCAAUCCCAACACCAAUCUUUUUCAGAUCGGCGGCGGGUUGCUUGAAAUGCAGGUGCAGCUGGACUUUCUCCUGAGCUAAAAGCAUAUUCAUUUAGUCCCGUCAAACGGAUUAUUACUUUUGCUGCAGCUAACAUAAAGGGAGUUUGACCGUAUUGGCUGACUGAUGCAGGAUUUCACAAGGGUCGGCAACGAUUCUUGUAAAACUCGAUCUCAAAUCAAGUAAGACUACCCGCUGAACUUAAGCAUAUCAAUAAGCGGAGGA
RNAcentral lists this unclassified non-coding RNA (382 nucleotides) under Mortierella sp. RNAcentral describes it as "partial contains 5.8S ribosomal RNA, internal transcribed spacer 2, and large subunit ribosomal RNA". The stretch from base 1 to 71 matches the Rfam family "5.8S ribosomal RNA", at positions 84 to 154 of the family's 154-position model. Lineage: Eukaryota; Fungi; Mortierellomycota; Mortierellomycetes; Mortierellales; Mortierellaceae. The record is from RNAcentral.